UGGGGAAUCUUCCGCAAUGGACGAAAGUCUGACGGAGCAACGCCGCGUGAGUUAAGACGGCCUUCGGGUUGUAAAGCUCUGUGAUCCGGGACGAAAGAGCCUGAGGUAAAUAGCCUAAGGAAGUGACGGUACCGGAAAAGCAAGCCACGGCUAACUACGUGCCAGCAGCCGCGGUAAUACGUAGGUGGCAAGCGUUGUCCGGAAUUAUUGGGCGUAAAGCGCGCGCAGGCGGCUUACUAAGUCCAUCUUAAAAGUGCGGGGCUUAACCACGUGAUGGGAUGGCAACUGGAAAGGUGGAGUAUAGGAGAGGAAAGAGGAAUUCCUAGUGUAGCGGAGAAAUGCGUAGAGAUUAGGAAGAACACCGGUGGAGAAGGCGACUUUCUGGACGAAAACUGACGCUGAGGCGCGAAAGCGUGGGGAACAAACAGG
This 429-nucleotide ribosomal RNA is filed under the name Fusobacteriota bacterium. Its description in RNAcentral is "Fusobacteria bacterium partial 16S ribosomal RNA". It matches the Rfam family "Bacterial small subunit ribosomal RNA", at positions 355 to 776 of the family's 1533-position model. Lineage: Bacteria; Fusobacteriati; Fusobacteriota. The record is from RNAcentral.